AUUGAACGCUGGCGGCAGGCCUAACACAUGCAAGUCGAGCGGAUGAAGGGAGCUUGCUCCUGGAUUCAGCGGCGGACGGGUGAGUAAUGCCUAGGAAUCUGCCUGGUAGUGGGGGAUAACGUCCGGAAACGGGCGCUAAUACCGCAUACGUCCUGAGGGAGAAAGUGGGGGAUCUUCGGACCUCACGCUAUCAGAUGAGCCUAGGUCGGAUUAGCUAGUUGGUGGGGUAAAGGCCUACCAAGGCGACGAUCCGUAACUGGUCUGAGAGGAUGAUCAGUCACACUGGAACUGAAACGCGGUCCAGACUCCUACGGGAGGCAGCAGUGGGGAAUAUUGGACAAUGGGCGAAAGCCUGAUCCAGCCAUGCCGCGUGUGUGAAGAAGGUCUUCGGAUUGUAAAGCACUUUAAGUUGGGAGGAAGGGCAGUAAGUUAAUACCUUGCUGUUUUGACGUUACCAACAGAAUAAGCACCGGCUAACUUCGUG
Molecule: ribosomal RNA, 484 nt
Filed under: uncultured bacterium
Lineage: Bacteria
Description: partial 16S ribosomal RNA
Rfam family: Bacterial small subunit ribosomal RNA
Source: RNAcentral